This 253-nucleotide ribosomal RNA is filed under the name uncultured prokaryote. Its description in RNAcentral is "partial 16S ribosomal RNA". It matches the Rfam family "Bacterial small subunit ribosomal RNA", at positions 524 to 776 of the family's 1533-position model. The record is from RNAcentral.
UACGAGUGGUGCAAGCGUUAUUCGGAUUUAUUGGGCGUAAAGGGUGUGUAGACGACCUGCUAAGUUGCUUGUUUAAUCCUCCGGCCUAACCGGAGACCAGCGAGCAAAACUGACGGGUUCGAGGUUGGAAGAGAGAAGUGGAAUUCUUGGAGUAGCGGUAAAAUGCGUAGAUCUCAAGAGGAACACCAAUGGCGAAGGCAGCUUCUUGGUCCAUACCUGACGUUGAAACACGAAAGCGUGGGGAGCAAACAGG